RNAcentral lists this transfer-messenger RNA (361 nucleotides) under Pleurocapsa sp. SU_196_0. It matches the Rfam family "transfer-messenger RNA". From Rfam's summary of the family: Bacterial tmRNA, also known as 10Sa RNA or SsrA, is named for its dual tRNA and mRNA-like properties. Its role is to liberate the mRNA from a stalled ribosome. To accomplish this part of the tmRNA is used as a reading frame that ends in a translation stop signal. The record is from RNAcentral. Lineage: Bacteria; Bacillati; Cyanobacteriota; Cyanophyceae; Pleurocapsales; Pleurocapsaceae.
GGGGGUGAACUGGUCUCGACAUUGAUUGCCGAAGGUUAAACCGCAAGCCGAGGUGGGCUGGCCUCGUAAAAAGCCCAAACGCCUUAACUGGCAACGUUCUGAAAAUGCAGGCCCAGCCUGCACUCCGCGCUGCUUAAGUCAGCGCAAGCGCUCUGAAAACUUUGCGAUUGGUUUUCUGACCGCUCAAUGAAAUCGCUCGCCUUGGAGAGGUCUCGUAACCAAGGUUAAGAGAACGAGAAUAGGGUAUGGCGGAUCUUGUUUCUGGGAGCCUUCAGAUCCGAAAUCUAAAUCAGGAACUAAGCUUGUAGACGUUGGCUGGACGGAUCAAUGGACGCGCGUUCGACUCGCGCCACCUCCACCA